RNAcentral lists this long non-coding RNA (547 nucleotides) under Daucus carota (carrot). Its description in RNAcentral is "long non-coding RNA (DCAR_LNC001121)". The record is from RNAcentral. Lineage: Eukaryota; Viridiplantae; Streptophyta; Magnoliopsida; Apiales; Apiaceae.
UGAGCCUAUCAAUGAAAAGCUCAAUAAUUGGCCUCGUAAAAUCACCCUCGUACAAAGAAGUAGCACUGACGCCACCAGGUACUAUUUCAAUGCUGCAAGUCCGGGCAUCGGAGGAUGACUUUCCUGCAAAAGAGGAACUCAUUGUAAGAGAUGAAGAAACCAGUAAAGCAGGAGAUAAGAAAUUUGGCUCAACUGUUGUUAAUCCAGAAAAAACAUAUUCAACUGAUAAGGAUGAGGAUAAUCAAUCCAAGGCAGUACCUCGUAAUGUGGAAAUGACUCAAUCCAGCACUGCUAAGAAUUUUCAAGUUGCACCUAGGAUUUUUGAAGGUAAAGAUCCUUCAUACUCCACUUCACAAGGAGAAAAGGAUUCAAAUGAAAUCCCUUCUCUUCCAUGUGAUAUUGGUACUCGAGAUAUCUCCAAGAAGUUGUCUGCAUCGGCUGCUCCAUUCAAUCCUUCGCCAACUGCGACACAAAUUCCUCCUUUUCCCUUGAGUAUAGUUCUUCCUCCAGGGCCUGGUUCUGUUCCAGCUGUUGGUCUGUGGCCAAU